ACAGGGGAAAGGUGGAUUAUUGGUACUAUCAGAGAGGGAGAGAGACAGGGGAAAGGUGGAUUAUUGAUACUAUCAGAGGGAGAGACAGGGGAAAGGUGGAUUAUUGGUACUAUCAGAGGGAGAGACAGGGGAAAGGUGGAUUAUUGGUACUAUCAGAGGGAGAGACAGGGGAAAGGUGGAUUAUUGGUACUAUCAGAGGGAGAGACAGGGGAAAGGUGGAUUAUUGGUACUAUCAGAGGGAGAGACAGGGGAAAGGUGGAUUAUUGGUACUAUCAGAGGGAGAGAGACAGGGGAAAGGUGGAUUAUUGGUACUAUCAGAGGGAGAGACAGGGGAAAGGUGGAUUAUUGAUACUAUCAGAGGGAGAGAGACAGGGGAAAGGUGGAUUAUUGAUACUAUCAGAGGGAGAAACAGGGGAAAGGUGGAUUAUUGGUACUAUCAGAGGGAGAGACAGGGGAAAGGUGGAUUAUUGAUACUAUCAGAGGGAGAGAGACAGGGGAAAGGUGGAUUAUUGGUACUAUCAGAGGGAGAGACAGGGGAAAGGUGGAUUAUUGGUACUAUCAGAGGGAGAGACAGGGGAAAGGUGGAUUAUUGGUACUAUCAGAGGGAGAGACAGGGGAAAGGUGGAUUAUUGGUACUAUCAGAGGGAGAGAGAGGGGAAAGGUGGAUUAUUGGUACUAUCAGAGGGAGAGAGACAGGGGAAAGGUGGAUUAUUGAUACUAUCAGAGGGAGAGACAGGGGAAAGGUGGAUUAUUGGUACUAUCAGAGGGAGAGAGACAGGGGAAAGGUGGAUUAUUGGUACUAUCAGAGGGAGAGAGACAGGGGAAAGGUGGAUUAUUGGUACUAUCAGAGGGAGAGAGACAGGGGAAAGGUGGAUUAUUGGUACUAUCAGAGGGAGAGAGACAGGGGAAAGGUGGAUUAUUGAUACUAUCAGAGGGAGAGAGACAGGGGAAAGGUGGAUUAUUGGUACUAUCAGAGGGAGAGACAGGGGAAAGGUGGAUUAUUGGUACUAUCAGAGGGAGAGAGACAGGGGAAAGGUGGAUUAUUGGUACUAUCAGAGAGGGAGAGACAGGGGAAAGGUGGAUUAUUGGUACUAUCAGAGGGAGAGAGACAGGGGAAAGGUGGAUUAUUGGUACUAUCAGAGGGAGAGACAGGGGAAAGGUGGAUUAUUGGUACUAUCAGAGGGAGAGAGACAGGGGAAAGGUGGAUUAUUGGUACUAUCAGAGGGAGAGAGACAGGGGAAAGGUGGAUUAAUGGUACUAUCAGAGGGAGAGAGACAGGGGAAAGGUGGAUUAUU
Molecule: long non-coding RNA, 1295 nt
Organism: Oncorhynchus keta (chum salmon)
Lineage: Eukaryota; Metazoa; Chordata; Actinopteri; Salmoniformes; Salmonidae
Exons: 7
Source: RefSeq, a predicted model, not a curated record